GGAGCAGUAGCUCAGCUGGUUAGAGUACAGCCCUGUCAAGGCUGGGGUCGCGGGUUCGACUCCCGUCUGCUCCGCCA
Molecule: transfer RNA, 77 nt
Filed under: Gammaproteobacteria bacterium
Lineage: Bacteria; Pseudomonadati; Pseudomonadota; Gammaproteobacteria
Also listed under: 1 other name
Description: tRNA-Asp
Rfam family: tRNA
About the family: Transfer RNA (tRNA) molecules are approximately 80 nucleotides in length.
Source: RNAcentral